UGGCUCUCGCAUCGAUGAAGAACGCAGCGAAAUGCGAUAAGUAAUGUGAAUUGCAGAAUUCAGUGAAUCAUCGAAUCUUUGAACGCACCUUGCGCUCCUUGGUAUUCCUCGGAGCAUGCCUGUUUGAGUAUCAUGAAAUCUUCAAAAUAAAUCUUUCGUUAGUUCGAUCGACUUUGUUUUGGACUUGGGGGCUUGCAGAUUCACGUCUGCUCCUCUUAAAUUCAUUAGCUGGAUCUCAGUGAGCUCGGUUCCACUCGGCGUGAUAAGUAUCACUCGCUGAGGACACUGCCUUAAAAAAACAGUGGCCGGGAUUGCAGACGAACCGCUUCUAAUAGUCCAUUAGCUUGGACAAUAAAUUAAUUUAUGAUCUGAUCUCAAAUCAGGUAGGACUACCCGCUGA
RNAcentral lists this unclassified non-coding RNA (400 nucleotides) under uncultured fungus. RNAcentral describes it as "partial contains 5.8S ribosomal RNA and internal transcribed spacer 2". The stretch from base 1 to 133 matches the Rfam family "5.8S ribosomal RNA", at positions 22 to 154 of the family's 154-position model. The record is from RNAcentral. Lineage: Eukaryota; Fungi.